RNAcentral lists this long non-coding RNA (666 nucleotides) under Brassica napus (rape). RNAcentral describes it as "long non-coding RNA (BNAP_LNC019460)". The record is from RNAcentral. Lineage: Eukaryota; Viridiplantae; Streptophyta; Magnoliopsida; Brassicales; Brassicaceae.
AUGGAUAAAACCAAGGUCUUGUGUAGAACAAAUUUGUAGGAAUUUGCAGGUUGAAUAGUUGAUAAAGUUUGGGUUUGUCUUGUCUUUAUAAUGGGUGAUUUCUACGGAUUUAGAGUCUACUAGAAUAUACUCAUAAAAGGAUUGGUUUUUGGUUAUGUUGUCUGUUGGCUAAGGACUGUCUUCGUAGAAGACUCGAUUGAUGAAGGAUUUAAGUUGAGUAAGGUUUAUUGGUUUGGUGAAUGGGGUGGUUAUUAGGUGUUGCUUUUGAGGUUUGGUAUAGUAGACCGGUUUAGUGUUUGGGGUAGUGUUUGAGGUAGUGUUUGGGGUUUCUGUUGAUGAUUGUGUUUUCGCCUUUGAUGACGUCUCAGCGACUGCUUUUGAAUAGGAUAGAGGAGGAUAUUCAGCUAAUACUGAGAAAGGGUUUGGAGUUAAAGUUCUUCCUUGGAGAUGUAGCUGGUUUUUGAUAUAAUCCGAUGCUGUCAUCGGCUUUUUCAUUUUCUGGUCACUCAUCUUGAAUAUCUUCUUGUUGUUGAUUUUCUGUUGAUUUUCCCAUCCAGCAAAUAUUUGUUUUGAUACUAGAUUUUUGACAUUUUUUUGCAAUAUUUCUUUUGCUGAUUUGCAAUCUACUCGCAAUAGAAAUUUUUUAUUGACUAAGUCGUCUUGGAA